This 64-nucleotide transfer RNA is filed under the name Ischnoptera sp. B084. RNAcentral's name for it is "tRNA-Thr". It matches the Rfam family "tRNA". From Rfam's summary of the family: Transfer RNA (tRNA) molecules are approximately 80 nucleotides in length. Their secondary structure includes four short double-helical elements and three loops (D, anti-codon, and T loops). The record is from RNAcentral. Lineage: Eukaryota; Metazoa; Arthropoda; Insecta; Blattodea; Blattellidae.
GUUUUAAUAAUUUAAAUAAAAUAUUGAUCUUGUAAAUCAAAAAUAAAGUCAACUUUUUAAAACU